This 1371-nucleotide ribosomal RNA is filed under the name uncultured bacterium. Its description in RNAcentral is "bacterial SSU rRNA". It matches the Rfam family "Bacterial small subunit ribosomal RNA", at positions 28 to 1381 of the family's 1533-position model. The record is from RNAcentral.
GAUGAACGCUGGCGGCGUGCCUAAUACAUGCAAGUCGAGCGAACGGACGAGAAGCUUGCUUCUCUGAUGUUAGCGGCGGACGGGUGAGUAACACGUGGAUAACCUACCUAUAAGACUGGGAUAACUUCGGGAAACCGGAGCUAAUACCGGAUAAUAUUUUGAACCGCAUGGUUCAAAAGUGAAAGACGGUCUUGCUGUCACUUAUAGAUGGAUCCGCGCUGCAUUAGCUAGUUGGUAAGGUAACGGCUUACCAAGGCAACGAUGCAUAGCCGACCUGAGAGGGUGAUCGGCCACACUGGAACUGAGACACGGUCCAGACUCCUACGGGAGGCAGCAGUAGGGAAUCUUCCGCAAUGGGCGAAAGCCUGACGGAGCAACGCCGCGUGAGUGAUGAAGGUCUUCGGAUCGUAAAACUCUGUUAUUAGGGAAGAACAUAUGUGUAAGUAACUGUGCACAUCUUGACGGUACCUAAUCAGAAAGCCACGGCUAACUACGUGCCAGCAGCCGCGGUAAUACGUAGGUGGCAAGCGUUAUCCGGAAUUAUUGGGCGUAAAGCGCGCGUAGGCGGUUUUUUAGUCUGAUGUGAAAGCCCACGGCUCAACCGUGGAAGGUCAUUGGAAACUGGAAAACUUGAGUGCAGAAGAGGAAAGUGGAAUUCCAUGUGUAGCGGUGAAAUGCGCAGAGAUAUGGAGGAACACCAGUGGCGAAGGCGACUUUCUGGUCUGUAACUGACGCUGAUGUGCGAAAGCGUGGGGAUCAAACAGGAUUAGAUACCCUGGUAGUCCACGCCGUAAACGAUGAGUGCUAAGUGUUAGGGGGUUUCCGCCCCUUAGUGCUGCAGCUAACGCAUUAAGCACUCCGCCUGGGGAGUACGACCGCAAGGUUGAAACUCAAAGGAAUUGACGGGGACCCGCACAAGCGGUGGAGCAUGUGGUUUAAUUCGAAGCAACGCGAAGAACCUUACCAAAUCUUGACAUCCUUUGACAACUCUAGAGAUAGAGCCUUCCCCUUCGGGGGACAAAGUGACAGGUGGUGCAUGGUUGUCGUCAGCUCGUGUCGUGAGAUGUUGGGUUAAGUCCCGCAACGAGCGCAACCCUUAAGCUUAGUUGCCAUCAUUAAGUUGGGCACUCUAAGUUGACUGCCGGUGACAAACCGGAGGAAGGUGGGGAUGACGUCAAAUCAUCAUGCCCCUUAUGAUUUGGGCUACACACGUGCUACAAUGGACAAUACAAAGGGCAGCGAAACCGCGAGGUCAAGCAAAUCCCAUAAAGUUGUUCUCAGUUCGGAUUGUAGUCUGCAACUCGACUACAUGAAGCUGGAAUCGCUAGUAAUCGUAGAUCAGCAUGCUACGGUGAAUACGUUCCCGGGUCU